GGUUAGUUGCCAGCAAGUAGCGUUGGGCACUCUAGCCAGACUGCCGGUGAUAAAUCGGAGGAAGGUGGGACGACGUCAAAUCAUCAUGCCCUUUAUGUCCUGGGCUACACACGUACUACAAUGGCCGUUACAACGGGAAGCGAAGGAGCAAUCCGGAGCAAAUCCCUUAAAGGCGGUCCCAGUUCAGAUUGUGGGCUGAAACUCGCCCACAUGAAGGCGGAAUUGCUAGUAAUUGCAGAUCAGCAUGCUGCAGUGAAUACGUUCCCGGGCCUU
Molecule: ribosomal RNA, 273 nt
Filed under: uncultured bacterium
Lineage: Bacteria
Description: partial 16S ribosomal RNA
Rfam family: Bacterial small subunit ribosomal RNA
Source: RNAcentral